This 352-nucleotide unclassified non-coding RNA is filed under the name Hevea brasiliensis (rubber tree). Lineage: Eukaryota; Viridiplantae; Streptophyta; Magnoliopsida; Malpighiales; Euphorbiaceae. The record is from RNAcentral.
CCCUAACGAUUCUUUCUUCAAGGGAUUUCACAAUCUAACUCAGCCGGCUACGUCUUCCUCGUCAAUUGUUCCUUAUUCUAAGAUCAAUACUGUUUCCAUUGACAAUACUAGUAGUGCUAUUUCUGGUUUUAGGAUAAACAGGGGCGGCGGUGUUGGAUUGACGCUGAGAGGCUGCUUUGACUCUCACGAAACCGGGAAUGAAAGGAGGCCUCGUGCAUUUGCCGCUCCCCACCAUCAACUAGUGCGUGAUCUCGAGACUCGACUGGAAGAUAGCAGCAGCAGCAGCAAUAGUGCUCGAUACAUAAAUGGUCACGGGACUUGUCAAGGUGGAAAGCUUUUUCGCUUCCCUGAC